GCCAGGGACUCAAGAGUGCAAGCCGCCCAACCUUGAGCACUAGCCCAGGCCGCGGAAGGACGGCGGCCGAGCUGGCAGUCCCGGCUGGGGAGCUCGCCCUCGGGGUCCGUCCGCUCCGCCCGCCCGAGGACUGGGUGCCUGCCAGCCCCACGGCCCCUCGCCCAGCGCCCGGCUCACAGGCAGAAGCGGUGUCCGGCCCGCCGCGCCCCCCGCCCGGCCCCGACGCCAGCCUUAGGGCUCUACCACCAGGGAGCUGUCGGCGUCCCGGGCGUCCCGCGCCGGCCCGCGCGCCUCGGGGGCGGCAGAGGCGGUCCCGCUUACCUGAGAACGUCUCGCCCGCCGCAGUUAGCAAAAGUCCGGCCAAAGUCGCCAGGGUCUGUGUGACCCGUAUCUUGUGUGACCUGUAUCUUAUGCCGACCUCCUAUCUCAUCCAGUGACCAAGAAUGCCUAACCUCCUGAGAACGCAGCCCAAAGGCAGCCAUGGAUUCCACCCACACUCAAGGAAGGGGAUCACACAGCAGCAUGAACACCAGGAGAGAGGAUCAUGAGGCCACCUUACAGUCUGUCUUCCACAAGGACUCAUCACCUAGGGAUAUAUGCCCUUGAAACAAAUGGAAAUAGACUCCCACAGGCUGAGGACAAAAGCACAGGAUCAACUAAGAUGCUAUCCAGGUGAAAGUGGAUGAGGCAGUCUCAUGCUCAGAUGUCUCUGCUUGGGGAAACCAUGUUGUGAGCAAACCAACAGUGGGGGCCGUGUGGAGAGGAAGCCUCCUGCCAACGCCUUGCAAGUGAGCUUGCAAGUGGAUCCUCCAGCCCGAUGUCAAGAAUUCAGAGAGUAUGGCCUCAGCCAACAGCCUGAGAAACCCUGGCCCAGACCAUCCAGCCGGGUCAUCGCAGAUUCCCAACCCUCAGACAGCAUAUAAGAAAAUAAAUAUUUGCUCCUUUAAGCAGCUAAUUUUGCAGUAAUUUGUUAUACAGCAAUAGAUAACCAACACAGACCUCAGCCAGUCUAGUAUUGUCUACUGGGGCACUAUCUUUCUUCCUUGGUCUGAUAUCCCUAGUCUGUUUCUAAUUUUUUUGGUUUUUUUUUUUUUUUUGGUUUUUUGAGGCUCACUGCAGCCUUGAACUCCUGGGCGGACUCAAGCAAUCCUCCUGCCUUAGCCUCCCACACAGCUUGAACGACAGAUGCAUGCCACAAUAGCUGGCAAAUUUUAAGAAUUUUGCUAUUGAGAUGGGGGUCUCAACAUCUUGACCAGGCUGGUCUCAAACUGCUGGUCUGAAGCCAUCCUCCUGCCUUGGCCUCCCAAAGCUCUGGGAUUACAGGCACAAGCCACCAUGCCCAGUUUGUUUCUGGUCUUUUUUGAGGUGUGAUUUUCUUUCUCUUUUAAGACCCUGCCUCACCUGUGGGACCUGGCUGAUUUUCUUUUUUUCUUUUUUUUUUUUUUUUGAGACGGAGUUUGGCUCUGUCGCCUAAGCUGGAGUGCAGUGGCGUGAUCUCCUCUCACUGCACCCUCCACCUCCCAGGUUCAAGCAAUUAUCCUGCCUCGGCCUCCCGAGUAGCUGGGACUACAGGCCCACGCUGCCACGCCCGGCUAAUUUUUUGUAUUUUAGUAGAGAUGGGGGUUCACCGUGUUGCUCAGGCUGGUCGCGAACUCCUGAGCUCAGGCAAUCCGCCCACCUCGGCCUUCCAAAGUGCUGGGAUUACAGGCGUGAGCCACUGCGCCUGGCCGGUUGAUUAUUUUUUCUUAACUUUGACCUUUUGCUUUUCUCCUCCGCUAGGAUCCAGCCUCUCCCCUUGGUUGUUGCAGUCCCUGACUGAGGCUUUACAGCCUAGCGCAGACUCCUCGGUUCUCUCCAGCCCCAGAAUAGGAAUUCAGUUCUAGGCUGUGGAUUUCAAAUGUCAGAUAGCCAUUGGUGUCGACGUCUCUUGAUUAAUAUUUUAAAUACGAAAACAAGGCAAAAAAUUUCCCAGGGGAAAAUACUGCGUUUUUGAAUGUGUGUUUUUGAAUAUUCUUACUAUUAAUAAUAUCAUUGUCAUAUUUUAACCUUUCACUUGAGGAACAUAAGGAUUAUAAGAACAUGUAGAAGCAUGGAGGAGAUUUAGGAAAUCUGACUUAUACCUGAUAAAAAUGAGGCCCCUGAGGUUAUGUGAAGUUCCCAAGGUCACUCAGCGCUACGAAAGAGCAUUUCAGUGGAACAAGUAUGUCAAGGAUAAUGGAAGCUGAGAAAGGAUCUUUUGGGGAGGUGGGUGGGGCUUCCCUGAGGACGGCUAUCAUGCCUUUCUGUAUGAGUGAGUCCUAGUCCAGUUACCACAGGCUGGACACCGAAUGCAAUGAAGCAGCGAUAUGACUCGAGAUGCUGUUUCUUAUGUUUUUAUGUUACUUUUAGGUAUGACACAAAGUCUGGAUCAAAUAGCAGCUACUUGGCUGGGCACAGUAGCUCACGCCUGUAAUCCCAGUAAUUUGGGAGGCCGAGGCGGGUGGAUCACCUGAGGUCAGGAGUUCGAGACCAGCCUGGCCAACAUGGCAAAACUCCUUCUCUACUAAAAAUACAGAAAUCAGCCGGCCGUGGUGGCAGGCCUCUGUAAUCCCACCUACUGGGGAGGCUGAGGCAGGAGGAUCGCUUGAACCAGGGAGGCAGAGACUGCUGUGAGCUGAGAUCGCGCCACUGCACUACAGCCUGGGUUACAGAGCGAGACUCUGCAUCCAAAA
This 2711-nucleotide long non-coding RNA is filed under the name Homo sapiens (human). RNAcentral describes it as "HSALNT0247584". Lineage: Eukaryota; Metazoa; Chordata; Mammalia; Primates; Hominidae. The record is from RNAcentral.